GAUGUCCCCAGAGGGUCAAGUGGAUGUUGUACUAGGCAUUAUGGGUCAACUGUCUGGGUCUGUGAUGGACCCUCCAAUGAGUCACAUGGAAGUUGUAGCUUCCAACACACCAAGCAGCCAUGCUCUCAGACCCAUGCAGGAUCAACGUCGGGACCCACAGUGGCAGCCAGUAGCUGGGAAAGUCCGCCAGGAGCUGAGGCCUCUAUGCCUGAGAGAUUGUUGCUGUAGAGCUGACCACCAUCUUCAGGGCAGGCGUGGUCAUACAGGAUGGGGUAAACUGAGGCACCUGCACAGUCCAGCUCAAGAAUGUGCUCAGCAAAUCCUAGCUGGUAGAUCUCAGAACUCUUGUCACUAUAAGAUCCUGGACCAGGGAGUCCCAACAUCCAUGGCUGAGUCCUCCCUCCUCUGAGUAAGGUGGAAACACAGGGUCUUACCGUUCCCAGCAAUGGGCACGUCCUUUCGGAUCAUCAUGGGUGCCGGGCAGACAUGGGGAAACUGUGCCAGCAGAUACAUCUGUGAGUGGACUGAAGAAACCCCAGCUGGGCAAGCAGGACUUCUCAGAGGAUUGGCUAGCCCUCAACUCUCAAGAGGUGGGAGACCAGACCAACAUCCCCUUUCCCCACGCUCCCCACUCUUCAUCUUAUUCCUGUCACCAAGACAAGAAUAGGAAGUGGUGUGGCCUGAGCCUGACAGCAUAAACUCUGGAGAACCUGCAAGAACUCAGCCCUGUCACUACUGAAUUUUUGGCUGACGGCUGGACAGACCCCAGUGACUUUCCCUGAGAAGUCAAAACACUCUUUUCUCCUGCAGUGACAGAACUCACUGCAAAUGUGUUCCCACCAGCACAACUCUAUUGAUUUAACCUGUUUCCUAUAGCAUGCUUUCAAGCUGUGUGUGUGUGUGUGUGUGUGUGUGUAUGGCAAAACCUAUUAUUUUUUUAACUUUCUCUCAUUAUACAUUAGGUUUCAUCUUAUGUCUAGAAAAGGGCUUCCUACAUCAGGUAUGUAUAAAAAUAUAUUUUCUUCCCAGGCAGGUAUGAUGGCACAUGCCUUUAGUCCCAGCAGUCAGGAGGCAGAGGCAGGUGGGGAUCUCUGUGAUUUCAAGGUCAACUUGGUUUACAUAGUGAGUUGCAGCCCAGCCAGAGGUACAUAGUGAGACUCAAAUAAUUAACAAUAGUAAUAAUAAUAAUAUUGUUGUUGUUGUUUUUUCUUUUUCUUUUUCCCUCUAGCCCUAGGUGUUUUGUUUUGUUUUUGAAACUGAGAUAGAAGUCUCACAGGUAGGUAGCUGUCUCAAAGCACAAUGAACUAAUCCACCUCCGAGAGGGACACAUUUCUAAACAGCUGAAAGAAGCUAAAAGGAGGGCUCCCAGACAUUAGCAGUAAGGGCCCUGUGUGGGCAGGGUCUCAGGGUACCCCUCAGAUGCCAUGCUCCAGGACCAGACCUAGGAGACCCCAUCCUUGAGUUGGGGUCCUGAGUGAGGAAGAGGGAGUCAUAUCCGGUGUGGCCUGCGGCCCUGUGGCCUGUGGCACGGAGAAUCCCCAAGGACCUGAGCCUCGAGGAGUCGUGGCCAGCCCCCAGGCUCAGGCUGAGGGCGGCUCUUUCCCAGCCUGGCCUGUGGGCUGAUGUCGUCUAAUGCUGUGGUCAGGCCGCGUGGCUGGGCUCCCCAGGCGGGCAGGGCCGCAUAAUGGACGGGUCAGACCCACUCGCUGACGGCUCCAUUAAAUGUGGUCGAUGGUUUUUUUUCUCUCUCUCUCUCUUUCUAUUUUUUUUUUCUUUCUCUUUUCUGUUCUGUUUCCCGGUGUUUUAAGCUGAGUGUCUCUGGGCAGGCGUUCAAAGCUGCGGAGCUAAUCUCAGAGGCAGCGCUGGGGGCAGGUUCGGCUGCAUUAAAUGGCUAAAUCUAGCGCUGGGUGGGCGGGGCUCACUCGAGGAAAGAAUAGCAUCACUGUGGUCUUGGACGUGACUAUAGGAGCCUGGCUGCUCUCCCUGUCCUUCAGGUCACUGGAGGAAGUUGCCAGGCAGCAGUAGGGAUGCUGGGGAGGGGUUCUGGUAAAGAUGGGAAACAUGAGGUUCUGUGCCUUUGUCUUGUGACCUUUAGGAAAUUGUGCCUCCUCUCUGUGCAUUGAAUCAAUCAAUCUUUCUUUCUUUCUUUCUUUCUUUCCUUCCUUCCUUCCUUCCUUCCUUCCUUCCUUCCUUCCUCCCUUCCUUCCUCCUCUUCUUGCUCCUCCUUUUCUAAAGUCACUUCCUUGUGUGGAAUUGGAGUGCUUUAGGGAGCUGGUCCGUCUCUAUAAUAAAGGAAACCCCGAUGUAUCUUUUUGGAGGUGU
Molecule: long non-coding RNA, 2322 nt
Filed under: Mus spicilegus (steppe mouse)
Lineage: Eukaryota; Metazoa; Chordata; Mammalia; Rodentia; Muridae
Description: lncRNA (ENSMSIG00000003221.1)
Source: RNAcentral